RNAcentral lists this ribosomal RNA (452 nucleotides) under uncultured bacterium. RNAcentral's name for it is "bacterial SSU rRNA". It matches the Rfam family "Bacterial small subunit ribosomal RNA", at positions 354 to 796 of the family's 1533-position model. The record is from RNAcentral.
GUGGGGAAUCUUGCGCAAUGGGGGAAACCCUGACGCAGCAACGCCGUGUGAGCGAAGAAGGCUUUCGGGUCGUAAAGCUCUGUUAGGUGGAAAGAAUUUUCGUCUCUCUAACAUAGAGACGGAUUGACGGUACCACCAGAGGAAGCACCGGCAAACUCCGUGCCAGCAGCCGCGGUAAUACGGAGGGUGCAAGCGUUGUUCGGAAUCAUUGGGCGUAAAGAGCGUGUAGGUGGUUAAAUAAGUCAGAUGUGAAAUCCCUUGGCUCAACUGAGGAAGUGCAUCUGAAACUGUUUAGCUUGAGUACGGGUGGGGAAUGGCGGAAUUCCCAGUGUAGAGGUGAAAUUCAUAGAUAUUGGGAGGAACACCGGUGGCGAAGGCGGCCUUCUAGCCCGAUACUGACACUGAGACGCGAAAGCGUGGGGAGCAAACAGGAUUAGAAACCCUUGUAGUCC